Molecule: long non-coding RNA, 266 nt
Filed under: Mytilus galloprovincialis (Mediterranean mussel)
Lineage: Eukaryota; Metazoa; Mollusca; Bivalvia; Mytilida; Mytilidae
Source: RNAcentral
AUUGUUCUCUAUACUUUAACCUUUUUGUCCAUUGUUCUCUAUUCUUUAUACAUUGUGCCCAUUUUUCUCUUUUCUUUAUACUUUUUGUCCAUUUUUCUCUAUGCUUUAUACUUUUUGUCCAUUGUUCUCUAUUAUUCAUGCUUUUUGUCCAUUGUUCUCUAUUCUUUAUACUUUUUGUCCAUUGUUCUCUAUUCUUUAUACUUUUUGUCCAUUGUUCUCUAUUAUUUAUACUUUUUGCCCAUUUUUCUCUAUUCUUUACACUUUUU